CGCCUGUUUAUCAAAAACAUGUCUUUUUGUUAAUUAUUUAAGGUCUGACCUGCUCCAUGAUUAGUUAAAUAGCCGCAGUAUUUUGACUGUGCAAAGGUAGCAUAAUCAUUAGUUUUUUAAUUGAAAGCUGGAAUGAAUGGUUGGAUGAGGAAGAUUCUGUCUCACUAUGAUUUUAUUUGAAUUUUAUUUUUAAGUUAAAAAGCUUAGAUUUAAUAAAAAGACGAGAAGACCCUAUAGAGUUUUAUAAGUUAUUAUUUCGAUUAUUAAAGGGUUUUAUUAUGAUUGGUUUAUUGCUUAUUUUGUUGGGGUGAUAUAAGAAUUGAAUUAACUUCUUUUUUUUGUUACAUUAGUUAGUGAAUAAAUGAUCCUGAGUUUUGGAUUAGAAGGAUAAAUUACCUUAGGGAUAACAGCGUAAUUCUUUUGGAGAGUUCUUAUCGAUAAAAGAGAUUGCGACCUCGAUGUUGGAUUAAAGAUAAAUUUUGGUGCAGAAGCUAGAAUUUUG
RNAcentral lists this ribosomal RNA (502 nucleotides) under Mimovesperus verrucicollis. RNAcentral's name for it is "Lydomorphus verrucicollis partial large subunit ribosomal RNA". It matches the Rfam family "Bacterial large subunit ribosomal RNA", at positions 1797 to 2574 of the family's 2925-position model. Lineage: Eukaryota; Metazoa; Arthropoda; Insecta; Coleoptera; Meloidae. The record is from RNAcentral.